Molecule: long non-coding RNA, 461 nt
Filed under: Triticum aestivum (bread wheat)
Lineage: Eukaryota; Viridiplantae; Streptophyta; Magnoliopsida; Poales; Poaceae
Description: long non-coding RNA (TAES_LNC024987)
Source: RNAcentral
UGAGAAGCCGGCCAGAUGAAUAUGCACCGUUCUUCUUCCCUCGCAUUAGCUAUGGCGUUCCUAGCUAUCGUUUACUGUUUCAUGCCGCCGCCAUGCUCAGCAGCGUUCCAAGAAGGUGCGUAAAGAACUGUGUGCAUGCCAUUUUUGUAAGGGAAUUUCUAAAAUUAGGCGGCCGGAAUGAUGAUUGAUCAUGUUCAUAGGUGUAGCUGUUCUGGACGGAUCCCGUAUCAAUGGACCUCCGUCGCCGCGGUACGGGCCGCCGAGGCAGCCAGGCUAUGAGCCCCCGGCCGCUGCUGCCACUUCUGCCACAGCGUAAGACCGUGUAGGCGGCUGCUAAGGCCCCUCACGCAUAAAGUAGACCGGAAAUCAGAGUGUAUACAGUGGUAAAUAAAAUCCGGAUGAUUUGUGAUAUUAAUAAUUAGUUGUGAAAGUUAUGAAUAAAGCCACGUUGUUAUGUGCGU